UGGCUCAGGACGAACGCUGGCGGCGUGCUUAACACAUGCAAGUCGAACGGAAAGGCCCUUCGGGGUACUCGAGUGGCGAACGGGUGAGUAACACGUGGGUGAUCUGCCCUGCACUUUGGGAUAAGCCUGGGAAACUGGGUCUAAUACCGGAUAGGACCACGCGCUUCAUGGUGUGUGGUGGAAAGCUUUUGCGGUGUGGGAUGGGCCCGCGGCCUAUCAGCUUGUUGGUGGGGUAAUGGCCUACCAAGGCGACGACGGGUAGCCGGCCUGAGAGGGUGACCGGCCACACUGGGACUGAGAUACGGCCCAGACUCCUACGGGAGGCAGCAGUGGGGAAUAUUGCACAAUGGGCGCAAGCCUGAUGCAGCGACGCCGCGUGAGGGAUGACGGCCUUCGGGUUGUAAACCUCUUUCAAUAGGGACGAAGCGCAAGUGACGGUACCUAUAGAAGAAGGACCGGCCAACUACGUGCCAGCAGCCGCGGUAAUACGUAGGGUCCGAGCGUUGUCCGGAAUUACUGGGCGUAAAGAGCUCGUAGGUGGUUUGUCGCGUUGUUCGUGAAAACUCACAGCUUAACUGUGGGCGUGCGGGCGAUACGGGCAGACUAGAGUACUGCAGGGGAGACUGGAAUUCCUGGUGUAGCGGUGGAAUGCGCAGAUAUCAGGAGGAACACCGGUGGCGAAGGCGGGUCUCUGGGCAG
This 699-nucleotide ribosomal RNA is filed under the name Mycolicibacterium houstonense. Its description in RNAcentral is "bacterial SSU rRNA". It matches the Rfam family "Bacterial small subunit ribosomal RNA", at positions 20 to 736 of the family's 1533-position model. Lineage: Bacteria; Bacillati; Actinomycetota; Actinomycetes; Mycobacteriales; Mycobacteriaceae. The record is from RNAcentral.